Molecule: ribosomal RNA, 47 nt
Filed under: Murbeckiella huetii
Lineage: Eukaryota; Viridiplantae; Streptophyta; Magnoliopsida; Brassicales; Brassicaceae
Description: 5.8S ribosomal RNA
Source: RNAcentral
AAGUCUAAAACGACUCUCGGCAACGGAUAUCUUGCCUUGGUGUCACA